This 994-nucleotide ribosomal RNA is filed under the name Escherichia coli. Its description in RNAcentral is "partial 23S ribosomal RNA". It matches the Rfam family "Bacterial large subunit ribosomal RNA", at positions 532 to 1531 of the family's 2925-position model. Lineage: Bacteria; Pseudomonadati; Pseudomonadota; Gammaproteobacteria; Enterobacterales; Enterobacteriaceae. The record is from RNAcentral.
AGGGGAGUGAAAAAGAACCUGAAACCGUGUACGUACAAGCAGUGGGAGCCUCUUUAUGGGGUGACUGCGUACCUUUUGUAUAAUGGGUCAGCGACUUAUAUUCUGUAGCAAGGUUAACCGAAUAGGGGAGCCGAAGGGAAACCGAGUCUUAACUGGGCGUUAAGUUGCAGGGUAUAGACCCGAAACCCGGUGAUCUAGCCAUGGGCAGGUUGAAGGUUGGGUAACACUAACUGGAGGACCGAACCGACUAAUGUUGAAAAAUUAGCGGAUGACUUGUGGCUGGGGGUGAAAGGCCAAUCAAACCGGGAGAUAGCUGGUUCUCCCCGAAAGCUAUUUAGGUAGCGCCUCGUGAAUUCAUCUCCGGGGGUAGAGCACUGUUUCGGCAAGGGGGUCAUCCCGACUUACCAACCCGAUGCAAACUGCGAAUACCGGAGAAUGUUAUCACGGGAGACACACGGCGGGUGCUAACGUCCGUCGUGAAGAGGGAAACAACCCAGACCGCCAGCUAAGGUCCCAAAGUCAUGGUUAAGUGGGAAACGAUGUGGGAAGGCCCAGACAGCCAGGAUGUUGGCUUAGAAGCAGCCAUCAUUUAAAGAAAGCGUAAUAGCUCACUGGUCGAGUCGGCCUGCGCGGAAGAUGUAACGGGGCUAAACCAUGCACCGAAGCUGCGGCAGCGACGCUUAUGCGUUGUUGGGUAGGGGAGCGUUCUGUAAGCCUGCGAAGGUGUACUGUGAGGUAUGCUGGAGGUAUCAGAAGUGCGAAUGCUGACAUAAGUAACGAUAAAGCGGGUGAAAAGCCCGCUCGCCGGAAGACCAAGGGUUCCUGUCCAACGUUAAUCGGGGCAGGGUGAGUCGACCCCUAAGGCGAGGCCGAAAGGCGUAGUCGAUGGGAAACAGGUUAAUAUUCCUGUACUUGGUGUUACUGCGAAGGGGGGACGGAGAAGGCUAUGUUGGCCGGGCGACGGUUGUCCCGGUUUAAGCGUGUAGGCUGGUUU